Molecule: ribosomal RNA, 500 nt
Filed under: uncultured bacterium
Lineage: Bacteria
Description: bacterial SSU rRNA
Rfam family: Bacterial small subunit ribosomal RNA
Source: RNAcentral
GCCGCGUGCGCGAAGAAGGCCUUCGGGUUGUAAAGCGCUUUUCGGGAGGAAGAGGAAGGACUGUACUCCCGGAAUAAGUCUCGGCUAACUACGUGCCAGCAGCCGCGGUAAUACGUAGGAGGCUAACGUUAUCCGGAUUUACUGGGCGUAAAGCGCGUGCAGGCGGUUCGUUAAGUUGGACGUGAAAGCUCCCGGCUCAACUGGGAGAGGUCGUUCAAUACUGGCGGACUUGAGGAUGGUAGAGGGAGGUGGAAUUCCGGGUGUAGUGGUGAAAUGCGCAGAUAUCCGGAGGAACACCAGUGGCGAAAGCGGCCUCCUGGACCAUUCCUGACGCUCAGACGCGAAAGCUAGGGUAGCAAACGGGAUUAGAGACCCCGGUAGUCCUAGCUGUAAACGAUGUGAACUUGGCGUCGGUGGGAUUAAAUCCAUCGGUGUCGAAGCUAACGCGAUAAGUUCACCGCCUGAGGACUACGGCCGCAAGGUUAAAACUCAAAGGAAUU